CAUGGAUAACUGUGGUAAUUCUAGAGCUAAUACAUGCAGCAAGCCUUGACCCUUACGGGCAAGGCGCAGUUAUUAGAUCAAAAACCAAUCGGUUGUGUCUUCGGAUGCAGCCGUUAGCUUGGUGACUCUGAGUAACCACAGCGAACCGUAUGGCCUCGUGCUCGACGGUCUGUCAGUCAAGCAACUGCCUUAUCAGCUUGUUGUUAGGUUAUAUGCCUAACAAGGCUUCAACGGGUAACGAACGAUCGGGGUCGGAUAUCGGAGAGGGAGCUUGAGAAACGGCUACCACUUCCAAGGAAGGCAGCAGGCGCGCAAAUUACCCACUCUCGGCAUGAGGAGGUAGCGAUAAAAUGUAUCGAUGCGGGGCCAUUAGUGCCUUCGUAAUCGGAAUGAGUACACUUUAAAUCCUAUAACGAGGACCUAUUGGAGGGCAAGUCUGGUGCCAGCAGCCGCGGUAAUUCCAGCUCCAAUAGCGUAUAUUAAUGCUGCUGCGGUUAAAAAGCUCGUAGUCGGAUCUGGGUUACCGGCGGGUACCGCAUGUUGCUUCACGCAGCAUGUUGUGUACUAUACGUGUCGCUUCGGCGGCACUGCCAGUGUAAUUGUACCCCACGUGGGUGCGUUACGCUGGUCGCCGGAACCACGAGCCGGGUUGAGCAGCAUGCUCUUAAUUGAGUGUGUUGUUUACUCGGUGCGUUUACUUUGAAAAAAUUGGAGUGCUCAAAGCAAGCGUACAGUCGCUAUGCGGCUUGAACAGUGGUGCAUGGAAUAAUGGAAUAGGGCCUCGGUUCUAUUUUGUUGGUUUUAAGAUAUCGAGGUAAUGAUUAAGAGGGACAGACGGGGACGUUUGUAUUGCGACGUUAGAGGUGAAAUUCUUGGAUCGUCGCA
RNAcentral lists this ribosomal RNA (885 nucleotides) under Echiniscus lichenorum. Its description in RNAcentral is "SSU rRNA". It matches the Rfam family "Eukaryotic small subunit ribosomal RNA", at positions 138 to 932 of the family's 1831-position model. Lineage: Eukaryota; Metazoa; Tardigrada; Heterotardigrada; Echiniscoidea; Echiniscidae. The record is from RNAcentral. RNAcentral also lists the same sequence under 1 other name.